The submitters of this non-coding RNA (61 nucleotides) gave its source as unclassified sequences. The record is from Rfam.
CAACGUUCACCUCUCCUUGCGGGAGGCGCAGACAAGCCAGGCCAUGGAACGGGGACCUGGA